RNAcentral lists this transfer RNA (76 nucleotides) under Pectobacterium carotovorum. RNAcentral describes it as "tRNA-Lys". It matches the Rfam family "tRNA". From Rfam's summary of the family: Transfer RNA (tRNA) molecules are approximately 80 nucleotides in length. The record is from RNAcentral. Lineage: Bacteria; Pseudomonadati; Pseudomonadota; Gammaproteobacteria; Enterobacterales; Pectobacteriaceae. RNAcentral also lists the same sequence under 16 other names.
GGGUCGUUAGCUCAGUUGGUAGAGCAGUUGACUUUUAAUCAAUUGGUCGCAGGUUCGAACCCUGCACGACCCACCA